RNAcentral lists this ribosomal RNA (769 nucleotides) under uncultured bacterium. RNAcentral describes it as "bacterial SSU rRNA". It matches the Rfam family "Bacterial small subunit ribosomal RNA", at positions 28 to 794 of the family's 1533-position model. The record is from RNAcentral.
AUUGAACGCUGGCGGAAUGCUUUACACAUGCAAGUCGAACGGCAGCACGGGUGCUUGCACCUGGUGGCGAGUGGCGAACGGGUGAGUAACAUAUCGGAACGUACCCAGUAAUGGGGGAUAACUAGUCGAAAGAUUAGCUAAUACCGCAUACGCCCUGAGGGGGAAAGCGGGGAUCGUAAGACCUCGCGUUAUUGGAGCGGCCGAUAUCUGAUUAGCUAGUUGGUGGGGUAAAGGCCUACCAAGGCGACGAUCAGUAGCUGGUCUGAGAGGACGACCAGCCACACUGGAACUGAGACACGGUCCAGACUCCUACGGGAGGCAGCAGUGGGGAAUUUUGGACAAUGGGCGCAAGCCUGAUCCAGCCAUUCCGCGUGAGUGAAGAAGGCCUCGGGUUGUAAAGCUCUUUCGCAAGGGAAGAAACGAUACGAGCGAAUAACUCGUGUUAAUGACGGUACCUUGAUAAGAAGCACCGGCUAACUACGUGCCAGCAGCCGCGGUAAUACGUAGGGUGCGAGCGUUAAUCGGAAUUACUGGGCGUAAAGCGUGCGCAGGCGGUUUUGUAAGUCAGAUGUGAAAUCCCCGGCGUCAACCUGGGAACUGCGUUUGAAACUACAAGGCUAGAGUAUAGGAGAGGGGGGUAGAAUUCCACGUGUAGCAGUGAAAUGCGUAGAGAUGUGGAGGAAUACCAAUGGCGAAGGCAGCCCCUGGCCUAAUACUGACGCUCAUGCACGAAAGCGUGGGGAGCAAACAGGAUUAGAUACCCGGUAGU